This 3203-nucleotide unclassified non-coding RNA is filed under the name Melitaea cinxia (Glanville fritillary). RNAcentral describes it as "misc RNA ENSMCXG00005013277.1". Lineage: Eukaryota; Metazoa; Arthropoda; Insecta; Lepidoptera; Nymphalidae. The record is from RNAcentral.
AUAGCAAUCGCAAUAAAUAAAAGACUAAAAAUAUACUAACCGAUAUGGUUUUUAUUUCUGUACUAAAUAUUCUUUGUCCUACAAUUUUACAAGAAUAGUUAUACUCCUUAUUAAAAUAUAGACAAUUGAAAUUUACUCUUACGCUUUUUGAAAUAAGCGCCAAACAAUGUUCAUUCGUGUCAUCUUUGAUACAAUUUAUUUUAAAAAAAAAGUUGAUUAAAAUAAUGUAUUGAAAGUCAAUCAAGUGAUGUUUUACAAAAAAUAAUUUAUACGUUAAGGACUUAAAUUUUAGACCAAAAAUUAAUUUUAACAUUUUAUGUUUCUUAAGAUUAAGAAAAACUAUUAUUAUGCUGUUACUAUAAAACGAUUUAUAACUUUAUUUACUCGAAUAUUAAAACGCAAUCGUUCGUAAUUUUAAUAUUUCAGCCUUUUUCAUUUUAAUUUCAAAAAACACUUUAAAAAAAUAAAAUUCGAACUAAAAAUGUAUUCACACACAACGGUGCACUUUAUUUCUAAUAAUCGUCCACAAAGUCCUUAUAGCUAAACAAUUGGGAAAUACUUGUUCUAACAUUUCAAUGUUCAGUGAUCGUGGUCUAGACUAAAUCUAAAAUAAUAUUUAAUUUACACAGGUAAUCAAUUUUAAUAUUAAUUCAUUUCGUAAUCUUAGGUCGCAAAUACAACAAUAAAACUUAACGUUUUAAUUUUAUAUUAUUUUUAGUCGUUUAGCUGUGCAAUACUUGAGUUGAAACACGGGGAAUAAAUAUCAAAAAACAGUUGUUCCCAGUUUUAUUUAAAUCAUAUAAUAUUUAAUAAAUUUUUAUCUUGUUAUAUCUUAACAUAAAUCAACGAAAAGUAAUGGGAUUUUUUACAAGAUAUAUAUUAUGUUUUAUCGGAAUACAUUAUGUAAUAUUCUCUGUAUGACAGAAUGAGUCCAAUAAUUCUAUUUUAGUACUAGUAUAAUAACUAAAAUAAAACAAUUCAAAUGUACGUAAAAUUGAUUUUAUUAUCAUUACAUUAAGAUAGCUUAAACUAUAAAUGAAGUAAUUCUUUUAAUAUCGUCGACAACUCCUAAAAUGUACCGUUAACUUUGAUCAAACAAUUUAUUUUAGUACACAAGGUAUUACAAUAAUAUAAACUAAAACAUAAUGAGAUGUUUACAUUUAACGACAACGGUGACAAAACAAUAAAAUUAUUUACCGUUCGAUCCACACACGAAACUACUGAUAUAGCUUUUAAUUAUUAUCUUUAACAUUCAUAAUUCUGUCAACAAUUACUUAUGAGACGAUGAAGUAUACGCGGUACACUCGUGUCAUUAAGGGCGAAAAAAAAAAACUAAGUUUUUCUUUUCAUUACAUUUCAUUUUGUGAAAAAUACACGAAUAGAAUUCAUAGGCACACAGUCGCAAGACUCUUUGAUCAGUAAAGCGAGCAUAAAGGCGAGUUCACAUUAUGUCGGUCCGGUUGUGUACGGUUUCUUUUUUUUAACUAGGUCGGCAAACAAAUGUACCAGGUCAUUAAUCCAAAAUGACGGCAUUGUAGACCCCACUCACUCACUCACUUCAGCCUAUCGCAGUCCACUGUUGGACAUAGGUCUCCACAAGUUGGCGUCAAAAAUGGCGUGAACUCAUGUGUUUUUCCCAUAGUCACCACGCUAUGGGAGACGUAUUGGUGGCCGCAGGAAUGGUUUUGUCGCACUAAAUGCGGGAUUACCAUCCGACUUGGAACCUGACUUUGAAAUACACAGGUCAAAGACGGGCAGCAGCUAUGGUCUACACCGUGAGGUGAAAAAUAGAAUAAAUGCGGGACGGAAGAAAUGGCGACAGGUCUCUGGAACAGCUUGUGAUCCACGAAUGGCCCUUACACUUAAGGGGAAAAUCUACAAAAUGAUCAUAAGACCUGUCGUAAUGUAUGGAACAGAAUGUUGAGAAAGUGACGGAUGAAAGAAUAGUGCACGCAGCCGAGAUGAGAAUGCUGAGAUGGAUGUAAAAAAAGCGAUGGAUGGAUUGUGUGAGUGAGGACAUGGGAAAGAAAGGAGUAAGCACUGAAUUGACGAAUAAUUGAUGGAAGAGGAAAACAGCUGAUGGUGAGCGAUAACCGUAGCUUAUAGACGUCUACAAUACCAGCAUUAAUCAAAUGCGUUGCCGACCCGAGGUCCCCCCUCCCUAUCUCUGGUCACCAUACUUACCACAGGAACAUAAUACUGCUUAAAAGCAAAUUUAUUUAUCUGUUGUAGCUGUUCUUUGUAAAGUGAAGGAACUUUCCCAGUCGGGCUGCUCCUAAUUUUGAGAAUAGCUUUUGUAGUACUCCGUUGCAACCGAUUUAUCGCCGACAUAACGUAAGUGAGCUUGAAUCAUCGUCUAUUGAUCAGAACCUAGCGCGUAUAUAGACCGCGGCCACGUCAUGGUUGGCGUACCCGAGCCGCUUGGCGUGCUUGAAGAUCUCGUUAGUGGUGGCCGUGAGAGGCAGCGACUGUUCCAGCGCGUCACCCAGCCCCAGCGCCAGCUUCAGGUCCUUCUGCAUGUGAGUCAGCGGCUGGUGCGUGGAGUACGACGACUCGAUCAUUGCUGGAAUCAGAGCGAUAUAUUUAAUUACAUCGUUCCAGAAAACCAAUGAAACCUACUGGGUCCUAAAAUGUAAACUGCUGGAUCCAAUUGGGUCAAAUUCUUAUAGAACCAAAUGGCAAGUAGGUAUCUCCCAUCCAACAACAAGGAAUCAAAUCGGAUCAGAAGUCUCGGCGUAAUCGGAAUACAGGAGUCCUUAUUGUAAAAAUUGCAUUUCUUUAUUAAAUUAGACCAUUCAAUAUUUUUAAAGUACAAAAAUGUCAAAUAUGUAAUAUCUAUAAUCUAUAAAUAUAAAUAUCUACAGAAUACAAACACGGUCGUCUGUUCCUAAAGUAAGCAACUUACGGCCGAACCCAAUAUUCAAUCUAAAGAUAGAGAUAGGUAGUUAUCAUCAACUGCUAAUAACUAACUAUCUAUCCUUUGUACUUGUCCCAAUAAUUCGGAUAUGGGACUACUAUCUCCAGUUAGCUGUAGAUAGACCGGCUACCUGAGCUCUCCCUUACAUUCCAGUAUACGCAGCGUCACAGACGGCCUCAGUUGUGUUACAUAGAUGUUUUGUAGUAUUUAAAUUUGUCAUACAAAUUUUAUUCAUAAAUAUUAAAGUAAUCUUGUUUUAUAAAAAUAUGGACAAAUUAAUUUUUAC